UGAUUGAGUUUGAGGCCUGAGAUUGAAACAUCACCAGAAAGAGUAUUUGUAGGUUCAUUACAUUCAACUGGAGCAUCUUCUGAUGUUUUUUCAGAAUCCACAAAAUGCUGGUCAGUGAUGCCAGAAGCUUUAACAACCUUCCCUUGAAACUUUAUCUUUCCAGUAGCUUUCAGGUGCACAGGUCUUGGAGAAUCCAAAGCAUAUGAAGAGACUGAACUGAAAAACUCAAAACUGCGCAUUCUCAGAUCCAG
This 251-nucleotide unclassified non-coding RNA is filed under the name Hevea brasiliensis (rubber tree). The record is from RNAcentral. Lineage: Eukaryota; Viridiplantae; Streptophyta; Magnoliopsida; Malpighiales; Euphorbiaceae.